This 600-nucleotide ribosomal RNA is filed under the name uncultured bacterium. RNAcentral's name for it is "bacterial SSU rRNA". It matches the Rfam family "Bacterial small subunit ribosomal RNA", at positions 800 to 1397 of the family's 1533-position model. The record is from RNAcentral.
CCCUAAACGAUGUACACUAGUUAUUGUGAUGCAAGUCAUUGCAGUAAUGCAGCUAACGCAUUAAGUGUACCGCCUGGGGAGUACGGUCGCAAGAUUAAAACUCAAAGGAAUAGACGGGGACCCGCACAAGCGGUGGAGCAUGUGGUUUAAUUCGAAGAUACGCGAAGAACCUUACCUGGACUUGACAUCCUAUAAAGGAUUUAGAGAUAGAUUUGUGCUAGUUUACUAGAAUAUAGUGACAGGUGCUGCACGGCUGUCGUCAGCUCGUGUCGUGAGAUGUUGGGUUAAGUCCCGCAACGAGCGCAACCCUCGUCGUUAGUUGCUAACAGUUCGGCUGAGCACUCUAACGAGACUGCCUGGGUAACCAGGAGGAAGGUGAGGACGACGUCAAGUCAUCAUGGCCCUUAUGUCCAGGGCUACACACGUGCUACAAUGGUUGGGACAAUAAGACGCGAUACCGCGAGGUGGAGCAAAUCUAUAAACCCAAUCUCAGUUCGGAUAGCACUCUGCAACUCGAGUGCUUGAAGCUGGAAUCGCUAGUAAUCGUAGAUCAGCAAUGCUACGGUGAAUACGUUCCCGGGUCUUGUACUCACCGCCCGU